This 405-nucleotide ribosomal RNA is filed under the name uncultured bacterium. RNAcentral's name for it is "partial 16S ribosomal RNA". It matches the Rfam family "Bacterial small subunit ribosomal RNA", at positions 30 to 526 of the family's 1533-position model. The record is from RNAcentral.
AUUGAACGCUAGCGGGAUGCUUUACACAUGCAAGUCGAACGAUUGGCGGACGGGUGAGUAAUAUAUCGGAACGUGCCCAGUAGCGGGGGAUAACUACUCGAAAGAGUGGCUAAUACCGCCUACUAUUGGAGCGGCCGAUAUCGGAUUUGCUAGUUGGUGGGGUAAAGGCUCACCAAGGCAACGAUCCCUAGCUGGUUUGAGAGGACGACCAGCCACACUGGGACUGGGAAACGGCCCAGAGUCCUACGGGAGGCAGCAGUGGGGAAUUUUGGACAAUGGGGGAAACCCUGAUCCAGCAAUCCCGCGUGUAUGAGAAGGCCUUCGGGUUGUAAAGUACUUUUGGCAGAGAGGCGAUAUCUGCAGAAUAAGCACCGGCUAACUACGUGCCAGCAGCCGCGGUAAUAC